This 72-nucleotide transfer RNA is filed under the name Oryctolagus cuniculus (rabbit). It matches the Rfam family "tRNA". Rfam says of the family: Transfer RNA (tRNA) molecules are approximately 80 nucleotides in length. Their secondary structure includes four short double-helical elements and three loops (D, anti-codon, and T loops). Lineage: Eukaryota; Metazoa; Chordata; Mammalia; Lagomorpha; Leporidae. The record is from Rfam by way of RNAcentral.
GUAAAUAUAGUUAAAAAAAAAAAACAUUAGAUUGUGAAUCUAAUAAUAGAAGAUCAUCCCUCCUUUUUUACC